AGUAGUUAUGAGUGUGUUCCCGAUAGGCUUCACAUACUUUGUGAAGGUGCCUUGUAACCAAAAAUAUUAGGGGGAAUGAAGAUG
Molecule: small RNA, 84 nt
Filed under: Fructilactobacillus lindneri
Lineage: Bacteria; Bacillati; Bacillota; Bacilli; Lactobacillales; Lactobacillaceae
Also listed under: 1 other name
Description: Lactobacillus lindneri SAM-III sequence
Rfam family: SAM-III riboswitch aptamer (SMK box)
Source: RNAcentral